This 445-nucleotide ribosomal RNA is filed under the name uncultured bacterium. RNAcentral's name for it is "bacterial SSU rRNA". It matches the Rfam family "Bacterial small subunit ribosomal RNA", at positions 354 to 796 of the family's 1533-position model. The record is from RNAcentral.
GUAGGGAAUAUUGGGCAAUGGAGGCAACUCUGACCCAGCCAUGCCGCGUGCAGGAUGACGGCCCUAUGGGUUGUAAACUGCUUUUAUACGGGAAGAAAAAAUACUACGUGUAGUAUACUGACGGUACCGUAAGAAUAAGGAUCGGCUAACUCCGUGCCAGCAGCCGCGGUAAUACGGAGGAUCCAAGCGGUGUCCGGAUUUAUUGGGUGUAAAGGGUGCGUAGGCGGAUCUUUAAGUCAGUGGUGAAAGCCUGCAGCUUAACUGUAGAAUUGCCAUUGAAACUGAAGAUCUUGAAUGUGGUUAAAGUAGGCGGAAUGUAUCAUGUAGCGGUGAAAUGCUUAGAUAUGAUACAGAACACCGAUAGCGAAGGCAGCUUGCUGAACCAUUAUUGACGCUGAGGCACGAAAGCGUGGGGAGCGAACAGGAUUAGAAACCCUAGUAGUCC